AUCAAAUUCCGUGAUAGCUGGUUCUCUCCGAAAUGCAUUUAGGUGCAGCGUCGGAUCGAUUACAUCCGGGGGGUAGAGCGACUGGAUGCUUGCGGGCCCAUAUCGGGUACCAACAGCAACCAAACUCCGAAUACCCGUGAUGCGUAUCCCGGCAGUGAGUCGGCGGGGGAUAAGCUCCGUCGUCGAAAGGGAAACAGCCCAGAUCGUCGUCUAAGGUCCCCAAGCGUGUGCUAAGUGGGAAAGGAUGUGGAGUCGCAUAGACAGCCAGGAGGUUGGCUCAGAAGCAGCCACCCUUGAAAGAGUGCGUAACAGCUCACUGGUCUAGUGGUUCCGCGCCGACAAUGUAGCGGGGCUCAAGCACACCACCGAAGACGCGGCAGUAGCUUUGCUACUGGGUAGGAGAGCGUCCCAUGCGGGGCGAAGCGGCGGCGCAAGCCCGCCGUGGACCGCAUGGGAGUGAGAAUGCAGACAUGAGUAGCGAAAGACGGGUGAAGAUCCCGUCCGCUGGACGACCAAGGGUUCCAGGGCCACGUUCAUCGUCCCUGGGUGAGUCGGGUCCUAAGGCGAGGCCGACAGGCGUAGUCGAAUGGACGAACGGGUCGAUAUUCCCGUACCGGCAUGCAACCGGCAAAACCGAAUCCGCGAGUACUAACCUCCGGGUCCGGGCUUACGUCUCCUUCGGGAGCCGGAUGCCCUGGCCUGUUGGGACCGUAACGGUAGUAGGUCAGCGCGGGAGUGACGCAGAAGGGUAGCCGGCCGCGGAGGUGGUCUUCCGUGGUCAAGCACGCAGCCCGUCCCACAGGCAAAUCCGUGGGGCGCGUGGGCGAGGUGCGAUGAUGGGCGCCGCAGGGCGCGAUAUCCGGUGAUCCCGGCUGCCGAGAAAAGCUUCGGCGUGAGGCGGCGUGCCGCCCGUACCCCAAACCGACACUGGUGGUCAGGUAGAGAAUACCAAAGCGAUCGAGCGAAUCCUGGUCAAGGAACUCGGCAAAUCACUCCCGUUCCUUCGGUUUAAGGGAGACCCCCGAUGGUGAACACACUUGCUGUGGGAGCUUUUGGGGGUGGCACAGACCAGGGGGUAGCGACUGUUUACCAAAAACACAGGAGCGUGCGAAGGCGCAAGCCGCUGUAUACGCUCUGACGCCUGCCCGGUGCCGGAAGGUUAAGAGGAUCCGUCAGGCCUCGGCCGAAGCGGUGAAUUCAAGCCCCGGUAAACGGCGGUGGUAACUAUAACCAUCCUAAGGUAGCGAAAUUCCUUGUCGGGUAAGUUCCGACCUGCACGAAUGGCGUAACGACUUCCCCACUGUCUCGACCAGGAGCUCGGCGAAAUUGCAGUACGAGUAAAGAUGCUCGUUAAGCGCAGAAGGACGAAAAGACCCCGGGACCUUUACUAUACCUUGGUAUUGGCAUUCGGUGUGGAUUGUGUAGCAUAGGCGGAAGGCUUCGAAGCCACGGCGCCAGCCGCGGUGGAGCCGCAAGGUGAAAUACCGCUCUGUUCGCAUUGGAUGUCUAACCUCGACCAGUCAUCCUGGUCAGGGACAGUGCCUGGCGGGUAGUUUAACUGGGGCGGUUGCCUCCCAAAGAGUAACGGAGGCGCUCAAAGGUUCCCUCAGCCCGGUUGGCAAUCGGGUGGCGAGUGUAAGUGCACAAGGGAGCUUGACUGCGAGACUGACGGGUCGAGCAGGGACGAAAGUCGGAACUAGUGAUCCGGUGCCGGUGUACGGACGCGGCAUCGCUCAACGGAUAAAAGGUACCCCGGGGAUAACAGGCUGAUCAUUCCCAAGAGUCCAUAUCGACGGGAUGGUUUGGCACCUCGAUGUCGGCUCGUCGCAUCCUGGGGCUGGAGCAGGUCCCAAGGGUUCGGCUGUUCGCCGAUUAAAGCGGCACGCGAGCUGGGUUCAGAACGUCGUGAGACAGUUUGGUCUCUAUCCUCUGCGCUCGUCGGAAUGUUGAGGAGGCCUGCCCAUAGUACGAGAGGACCUGGGUGGACGAACCUCUGGUAUGCCGGUUGUCACGCCAGUGGCACGGCCGGUUGGCUACGUUCGGAAGGGAUAACCGCUGAAAGCAUCUAAGCGGGAAGCCUGCUCCAAGAUAAGCAUUCCAUAGGACUACGGGUCCUUGAAGUCCCCAUGCAGAACACGUGGUUGAUAGGCCGGACGUGGAAGCCCCGCGAGGGGUGGAGCCGACCGGUACUAACGGACGAAAGGCAACACGAC
Molecule: ribosomal RNA, 2213 nt
Filed under: Bifidobacterium breve
Lineage: Bacteria; Bacillati; Actinomycetota; Actinomycetes; Bifidobacteriales; Bifidobacteriaceae
Description: partial 23S ribosomal RNA
Rfam family: Bacterial large subunit ribosomal RNA
Source: RNAcentral